Molecule: long non-coding RNA, 547 nt
Organism: Oxyura jamaicensis (ruddy duck)
Lineage: Eukaryota; Metazoa; Chordata; Aves; Anseriformes; Anatidae
Exons: 4
Source: RefSeq, a predicted model, not a curated record
GUUGCAGUGGAUUUAGUCUAAAAUAUUUUUUUUCAGAUGUUUAUUUCUGAGUUGUAUGGGUGAGAACACAUAAGGGAUUCAAUGGAAAGUUAAUAAUAAUAUCUAUGAAUUACAAUAGAUGAAAUUCAUGGUAAGGAGUAAAGAAGACACUUCUGCUAUGAAUUGUUAGGAAAUUCCCAGGCAGCAAUGGUCACUAGAGAUUAUGGAUGCCAGAUGGAUAUGCUUCAGCACACAUGGAACUGCUCAGACAAAAUAUCUUCUCCAAAAGAAAAGCCUUUGAGCUGGUUUGCAAUGAUGGAAUGGGAGUACAAUUGCAACUGGAAAACAUAGUCUGUUCACAUAGGCUGUUCAUGAAAGUGAAAUUGAUUGUUGUGAAAAGACUUCAAGGCAGAUGUGGAAUAUGAAGGCCAUCACAAAGUCACUUGAAAUGUGAUGGAAAAAAACACACAUUCCUGAGGAACAACUGUCUCAUGCUAUAUAUGUAUCAAUAGCUAUUUAUCUGAAUCAUUAUCUUACAGUGAUGAUUUCUCUCCAUUGACAAUGAAGA